Long non-coding RNA from Ruditapes philippinarum (Manila clam), 992 nucleotides. RefSeq lists it as uncharacterized. NCBI's taxonomy places the organism in Eukaryota, Metazoa, Mollusca, Bivalvia, Venerida, Veneridae. The record is from RefSeq and is a predicted model, not a curated record. The transcript has 4 exons.
CAUCGGGUAAAAUCGUGAAACGUCGUAGAAGGCCCGAAGCUACCCUCGUCUUUUGUCGCCACUUAUCGUAUAACCUAUUUUUAGCGACUGUGACGUCAGUUUUCACAGGAAGCAAUAUGGCCGCUCGCUUGCGAAACUAUCGUGGCCGGUACGUCAAAAAAACAAAUUACGUUAAAAUUAAGAAGUUUGAAAGGAUUUUAAUUAAACAUAAUUAUGUAACGGACAAUUCUGUGCAAAGUGGUAAUCCUGCUGAAGUGUUUAGUGACCAGAAUCUUACGCAACAGUGGAAAAUUGGGCGGCGAAAUAUUGAACUAGAUGUUCUUGUUGAAAAUUUGAAGUUUUGCAAAUCGUGCAGGUUUGGACCGGUUCCACUGACGUUAUACAGUGUACAAAAGGAAAUUAAGAAGGGGCUUGGUGGAUAUCUGUAUGUGCAGUGCGAAAAUUUAAAUUGCGGUUUUAUUAACUUUGUUUCGUAUGGGAAAACCCACAGACACAGGGGAAAAUCAGGAAAAUCAGGCAUGCCUUGUUUUGCAGUAAAUACCAAGCUUGGUACAGCUAUGAUAGACAGUAUUGGAGGUCCAACAAUGGUUAACAAUAUGCUGUCCACCCUCAUCUUACCAACAUUGUCCAAUAACAAGAUGAAAAAAAAUGGAACGCAGGGCAGGAGAAGCUAUCGAGUGUGUGGCAUCUAAAUCAACUUCAACAGCUGCUCAUAAGGCUUUCAGUAUGGAAAUACAGUAUUGAAGAAAGGCAGGAAGAUAUUGAUGUAGAGAGGAUACCUGAAUACAGUGAUGCUGUUCCACUUGGUGACUUUAAACCCAUACCACCUCUAUCAGACCCAAUAACAAUGAUUGCACUUGAUUUAGAGACUACAGACCUUAUUCGUGCUGGACAAAUGCCCCACAUAACGCAGAUUGCUGCCAAGGUUGUCAACAGUGGCAUAGGACAAACAUUCUUUGUAUAUGUACAGCCCAAGAUGCCAACUUCAACAG